RNAcentral lists this small RNA (109 nucleotides) under Salmonella enterica subsp. enterica serovar Thompson. RNAcentral's name for it is "partial RtT sRNA". It matches the Rfam family "RtT RNA", at positions 1 to 107 of the family's 130-position model. Rfam says of the family: This family represents a bacterial cis-regulatory element known as RtT RNA. The exact function of RtT is unknown although it is thought that it may be involved in changing the cellular response in relation to amino acid starvation. RNAcentral also lists the same sequence under 3 other names. The record is from RNAcentral. Lineage: Bacteria; Pseudomonadati; Pseudomonadota; Gammaproteobacteria; Enterobacterales; Enterobacteriaceae.
AUAUCUCUCUGUACGGGAAGGAUGAGAAGCUUCGACUAAGGUUCGAUUCGAGCGUCAGCGAGAAAGCGUUGCCGCAGGCAACGACCCGAAGGGCGAAGCGCGCAGCGCU